This 253-nucleotide ribosomal RNA is filed under the name uncultured bacterium. Its description in RNAcentral is "partial 16S ribosomal RNA". It matches the Rfam family "Bacterial small subunit ribosomal RNA", at positions 524 to 776 of the family's 1533-position model. The record is from RNAcentral.
UACGUAGGGUGCAAGCGUUGUCCGGAAUUAUUGGGCGUAAAGAGCUCGUAGGCGGUUUGUCGCGUCUGCUGUGAAAACUCGGGGCUUAACCCCAGGCCUGCAGUGGGUACGGGCAGACUAGAGUGCGGUAGGGGAGACUGGAAUUCCUGGUGUAGCGGUGAAAUGCGCAGAUAUCAGGAGGAACACCGGUGGCGAAGGCGGUUCUCUGGGCAUUACCUGACGCUGAGGAGCGAAAGUGUGGGGAGCGAACAGG